AAGUAGUAAUAUAUUUUAUUAAAACUCAUUUAUUUCGGCGGCAUUUCAUCUUAUUAGAGGAACUUGUUAUAUAAUCGACAACCCACGAUAAUUUUCACUUAAAUUAAAAAUUUAUAUAUCGCCAUCUAAAGAGUUAAUUAAAAAAUAUUUUUCAAAAUAACAUAAUAAAAAGAUAGGUCAAGGUGUAAUCCACAUAUAAGAAAAUAAUGAGUUACAUUAAAAACAAUUUAAGGGUUAUUAUAUUAUAACAUAAUAUAAAUAAGGAUUUAAAAUCAAUCUUCAAAAUAAUAAUUUACCAUGAAUUAGAAAAUAAAUGUGC
RNAcentral lists this ribosomal RNA (319 nucleotides) under Senoculus cf. iricolor MR700. RNAcentral describes it as "partial 12S ribosomal RNA". The record is from RNAcentral. Lineage: Eukaryota; Metazoa; Arthropoda; Arachnida; Araneae; Senoculidae.